ACCGUACUCCUACGGGAGGCAGCAGUGGGGAAUAUUGCGCAAUGGGGGAAACCCUGACGCAGCAACGCCGCGUGAAUGAAGAAGGCCUUAGGGUUGUAAAGUUCUGUUUUCUGGGACGAUAAUGACGGUACCAGAGGAGGAAGCCACGGCUAACUACGUGCCAGCAGCCGCGGUAAUACGUAGGUGGCAAGCGUUGUCCGGAUUUACUGGGCGUAAAGGAUGCGUAGGCGGAUGUUUAAGUGAGAUGUGAAAUACCCGAGCUCAACUUGGGUGCUGCAUUUCAAACUGGAUAUCUAGAGUGCAGGAGAGGAAAGCGGAAUUCCUAGUGUAGCGGUGAAAUGCGUAGAGAUUAGGAAGAACACCAGUGGCGAAGGCGGCUUUCUGGACUGUAACUGACGCUGAGGCAUGAAAGCGUGGGGAGCAAACAGGAUUAGAAACCCGAGUAGUCCUUGAC
RNAcentral lists this ribosomal RNA (454 nucleotides) under uncultured bacterium. Its description in RNAcentral is "bacterial SSU rRNA". It matches the Rfam family "Bacterial small subunit ribosomal RNA", at positions 330 to 801 of the family's 1533-position model. The record is from RNAcentral.